Molecule: long non-coding RNA, 2279 nt
Organism: Chelonia mydas (Green sea turtle)
Lineage: Eukaryota; Metazoa; Chordata; Testudines; Cheloniidae
Exons: 3
Source: RefSeq, a predicted model, not a curated record
UCGAUCUCCUCCUCGUCCUCCCGCUUGUCCUCUUCCCCCUCGUGGUCGCUCCCGUAGGAGUUGCCUUCCUCGUCCGUCCGGCUGCGGGGCGCCCAGUGAGUGUUCUGGGCACUAGAAGGCCUAGCAGGAAUGCUCCGGAAGAAUGAGGCUUACACGCAGCAAAGUAGAGAGUUAUUGGCUUUAAUGAAGAUGGAGAAACAGAAGCGCAGAUCGAUCAAGUAGCUCUCUCAAGGUCACGCGCCAAGCCAGCACCAGAACCAAAACUGGAACAUAGAACUCAAACUCUGACAAUGAGGUUAUGCUGCCUCCCAUAAGAUAUGAUUACAAUGACAAGGGAGAAAAUAUGCUUCUGUACUCCAAAGCUGAAUGUGACAGAGAGAGACUUCUGCAAGCCUUGCUCGGACAGAAUUGUAAAACUCAAGUCUUGUAGUUAUGAGGUUAUGCCUGGUUGUUGUGAGAUAAAUAUGGGUGCAGCUUAUGCAAAUUGCAAAACUAUUAACCACGACUGGUAAAUGGUUUUCAACGGUGAGGUUGUGAUUGAAAAUGACACCUAGAUACUUACCAUUAUUCAUUACCUCUGACAAAGUCAUUUCUAUAAGUUGGGGAUGGGACAUGAACGAGAUGAAAGCAGCCUCAUGGCACAGUUUUGGUCUUCAAAGCAAUAUUCACAGGUAUUUGGUAAAGCUUUGUUAUCCUCAAUUAUAUAAUGGUGUACACUAUACGGGUCACAAAUAAUUAGCACAGAGUUUUUAUAAAUAGUAGCUACAUGUGUACCUGGGGCAGAAUUCUUAUGCCAGCACCGUGUGCAAAUGUCUCUUUUACAUAAAUGAAAAUGACAUAAUUGGUAAUAAGUUUAAUUUAGUCCAGGUCAGCUGUAUAUGGUAAGGCAUAAAGGCUAAUUUGGCAUCAAUAUAGCCAUAUGAUAAUGUGAGAGUUUAAAGAAUGAAGAACUUGAUUUUCUUCUUGAAAACACCUAUAUGACUAUGUCUCAUGCUCAAAGAUAUAAUCCCAAGGAAAAAAUGUGGCACUUUCAAAGGUUAAAUAGCUGUCACAGAGGGAGUGAUCCCUGGCUGCCAUUUUGAAUUCACUCUUCUGAGGAGCCAGAGUUUUACAGUUUUAAGUUCCUUUCCCCCACUCUUCAAAAUGAUGAUUUCAGUGUUUGAAAUCACAUGACUGGAUUCACACUUCUGAUGGGCGGGGGGGGGGGGGGCAGAGUUUGAGGACAAAAAUGCCGUUGGAAAAAAUAACCUCUUCUGACUUUUCUUUUUUGGUCAACCAGACCUAGCAUAUUAUAAUAAAAAAAAUCCCUCUAGCCUUCAAUUCUUCAUAGGCACAAGAAAGCAAAUAUUGUUGAGGAUAUCCCCAGACACACUGGAACUGGUGCAAUUCUAGUCCAAAGAGGACAGUCUGAGUCACAGGGGCUGACAUCUCCCACACAGUGUAGAGAACAAUUCCCUGGCAUGACUGUUAUGUUCUGCAAUUAUGUGCAUCCACUGGCCAUUGUUCCCAGUGAAGGUGCAGGAAUAUUAGAAACAUAAUGUCUUGACUUCAGCAGGUUUAAAUCUGAACUCCCAAACAUGAUCAUAGUCCAAAGUUUUUUUUUGUAAUGGUGGGAAUCCAUAUUUAUUCUGCAGUGACGCUGUCGAUAAAAUAAACUUGUUUUUCCAGUCACCACAAUCCAGCCUGGGAUCUGAAAACUACUGUUCUUUCUGGUCCUUACAUUAUCACUGGCACUAAAGAUUUUAUCAUCUGAAUUUAGCUGCCAAUUCCGUUGAUGACACACGAGGCAGAAUAUAAUGUUUUAUGCUUCCAUAGCUCAUUGCCUCUGCAACAUUGACAGGGAUAUGACUCUUCUUGUCGUGACGUUGGGUUGAGGGUGACUGUAUGAUGGCAUGGAGUGGCUGCCCUGGUGACCUUUCCUUCAGAUCUCUGCACAGCUGUGCUGAGGAUAACCUCCUGUAGUUGGUCAAAAUCUGGUGUCUCUGAUCCUGAUUUGGGACAUUAUACAAAGCUCACUGAAGUCAUGGCCUUGCUGCUGCACCUCAUCUUGCUCCCUCUUAUUCAUUCAGUGUCUGUUGGCAGCAGAAAGCCUGCAACUUCUUUUCUUUUCUUCCCUCUAUCCUUCCUGAGCUGGUUUCACUGGUCUUGGGGUGGGGGUUGGGGCAGGUUGGUGCUUGGGAAUAACAGCUGUGAUGUUGCGCUUCAUAUGUUUUAUGGAAAUAUGCUUAUGAGUGUGAAUGUAAUGUAACUGGAAUAUGCUUUAUGCAAAAGGUUUCUUG